AGCGAACGCUGGCGGCAUGCCUAACACAUGCAAGUCGAACGAGACCUUCGGGUCUAGUGGCGCACGGGUGCGUAACGCGUGGGAACCUGCCCUUAGGUUCGGAAUAACUCCCCGAAAGGGGUGCUAAUACCGGAUAAUGUCUUCGGACCAAAGAUUUAUCGCCUUUGGAUGGGCCCGCGUUGGAUUAGCUAGUUGGUAGGGUAAAAGCCUACCAAGGCGACGAUCCAUAGCUGGUCUGAGAGGAUGAUCAGCCACACUGGGACUGAGACACGGCCCAGACUCCUACGGGAGGCAGCAGUGGGGGAUAUUGCACAAUGGGCGAAAGCCUGAUCCAGCAAUGCCGCGUGAGUGAUGAAGGCCUUAGGGUUGUAAAGCUCUUUUACCCGGGAUGAUAAUGACAGUACCGGGAGAAUAAGCUCCGGCUAACUCCGUG
RNAcentral lists this ribosomal RNA (433 nucleotides) under uncultured bacterium. Its description in RNAcentral is "partial 16S ribosomal RNA". It matches the Rfam family "Bacterial small subunit ribosomal RNA", at positions 29 to 507 of the family's 1533-position model. The record is from RNAcentral.